Molecule: ribosomal RNA, 223 nt
Filed under: Agathobacter rectalis
Lineage: Bacteria; Bacillati; Bacillota; Clostridia; Lachnospirales; Lachnospiraceae
Description: partial 23S ribosomal RNA
Rfam family: Bacterial large subunit ribosomal RNA
Source: RNAcentral
GGACGGACCACUGGUGUAUCUGUUGUCGACCAACGGCAUGGCAGAGUAGCCAAGUCUGGAAGGGAUAAACGCUGAAGGCAUCUAAGCGUGAAGCCCCCCUCAAGAUGAGAUAUCCCUCCUUCGGGAGUAAGACCCCUUGAAGACUACAAGGUAGAUAGGGCAGAGGUGGAAGCAUGGCAACAUGUGGAGCUGACUGUUACUAAUAGGUUGAGGGCUUAAUCUG